GAUGAACGCUGGCGGCGUGCCUAAUACAUGCAAGUCGAGCGAACAGACGAGGAGCUUGCUCCUCUGACGUUAGCGGCGGACGGGUGAGUAACACGUGGAUAACCUACCUAUAAGACUGGGAUAACUUCGGGAGACCGGAGCUAAUACCGGAUAAUAUAUUGAACCGCAUGGUUCAAUAGUGAAAGACGGUUUUGCUGUCACUUAUAGAUGGAUCCGCGCCGCAUUAGCUAGUUGGUAAGGUAACGGCUUACCAAGGCAACGAUGCGUAGCCGACCUGAGAGGGUGAUAGGCCACACUGGAACUGAGACACGGUCCAGACUCCUACGGGAGGCAGCAGUAGGGAAUCUUCCGCAAUGGGCGAAAGCCUGACGGAGCAACGCCGCGUGAGUGAUGAAGGUCUUCGGAUCGUAAAACUCUGUUAUUAGGGAAGAACAAAUGUGUAAGUAACUAUGCACGUCUUGACGGUACCUAAUCAGAAAGCCACGGCUAACUACGUG
RNAcentral lists this ribosomal RNA (497 nucleotides) under uncultured bacterium. RNAcentral's name for it is "partial 16S ribosomal RNA". It matches the Rfam family "Bacterial small subunit ribosomal RNA", at positions 28 to 507 of the family's 1533-position model. The record is from RNAcentral.